CAUUACAAGUGACCCCGGUCUAACCACCGGGAUGUUCAUAACCCUUUGUUGUCCGACUCUGUUGCCUCCGGGGCGACCCUGCCUUCGGGCGGGGGCUCCGGGUGGACACUUCAAACUCUUGCGUAACUUUGCAGUCUGAGUAAACUUAAUUAAUAAAUUAAAACUUUUAACAACGGAUCUCUUGGUUCUGGCAUCGAUGAAGAACGCAGCGAAAUGCGAUAAGUAAUGUGAAUUGCAGAAUUCAGUGAAUCAUCGAAUCUUUGAACGCACAUUGCGCCCCCUGGUAUUCCGGGGGGCAUGCCUGUUCGAGCGUCAUUUCACCACUCAAGCCUCGCUUGGUAUUGGGCAACGCGGUCCGCCGCGUGCCUCAAAUCGACCGGCUGGGUCUUCUGUCCCCUAAGCGUUGUGGAAACUAUUCGCUAAAGGGUGUUCGGGAGGCUACGCCGUAAAACAACCCCAUUUCUAAGGUUGACCUCGGAUCAGGUAGGGAUACCCGCUG
Molecule: ribosomal RNA, 499 nt
Filed under: Cladosporium cladosporioides
Lineage: Eukaryota; Fungi; Ascomycota; Dothideomycetes; Cladosporiales; Cladosporiaceae
Description: eukaryotic LSU rRNA
Rfam family: 5.8S ribosomal RNA (bases 162-315)
Source: RNAcentral